This 946-nucleotide non-coding RNA is filed under the name Deuterodon giton. RNAcentral's name for it is "Astyanax giton 12S ribosomal RNA". It matches the Rfam family "Bacterial small subunit ribosomal RNA". The record is from RNAcentral. Lineage: Eukaryota; Metazoa; Chordata; Actinopteri; Characiformes; Acestrorhamphidae.
CAAAAGCUUGGUCCCGACUUUAAUAUCAGCUUCAGCCCAACUUAUACAUGCAAGUAUCCGCACCCCUGUGAGAAUGCCCUCAAUCCCCCGCCCGGGGACGAGGGGCUGGCAUCAGGCACGGACCCCCGCUAGCCCAAGACGCCUUGCUACGCCACACCCCCAAGGGAACUCAGCAGUAAUAAACAUUAAGCUAUAAGUGAAAACUCGACUUAAUUAAGGCUAUUUAGGGUUGGUAAAACUCGUGCCAGCCACCGCGGUUAUACGAGAAACCCAAGUUGAUACACACGGCGUAAAGAGUGGUUUGAGGUAACAAAUAAAUAAAGCCGAAUAUUAUCAAAGUCGUUAUACACAAUUUUGAAUACAUGAAGCCCCACCACGAAAGUAGCUUUACUUUUCCUCGACCCCACGAAAGCUAGGAAACAAACUGGGAUUAGAUACCCCACUAUGCUUAGCCUUAAACCUAGAUGUUUAUAAUACAAGAAACAUCCGCCAGGGUACUACGAGCGCCAGCUUAAAACCCAAAGGACUUGACGGUGUCUCAGACCCACCUAGAGGAGCCUGUUCUAGAACCGAUAAUCCACGUUUAACCUCACCACCUCUUGUUUUCCCCGCCUAUAUACCGCCGUCGCAAGCUUACCCUGUGAAGGACUAACAGUAAGCAAAAUGGGUAUUACCCAAAACGUCAGGUCGAGGUGUAGCUCACGAGAUGGGAAGAAAUGGGCUACAUUCUCUAUAACAGAGUACACGAAUAGCACUAUGAAAUUAGUGCUUGAAGGUGGAUUUAGUAGUAAAAAUUAACCAGAGAGUCAUUUUGAAUUAGGCUCUGAGACGCGCACACACCGCCCGUCACCCUCCCCAACUAUAAACCUAACUUAAGUAAUUAACCAAAAAAUUAACUAAGCGGGGAGAUAAGUCGUAACAUGGUAAGUGUACCGGAAGGUGUACU